GAUGAAGAACGUAGCGAAAUGCGAUAAGUAAUGUGAAUUGCAGAAUUCAGUGAAUCAUCGAAUCUUUGAACGCACAUUGCGCCCGCCAGUAUUCUGGCGAGCAUGCCUGUUCGAGCGUCAUUUCAACCAUCAAGCCCCAGGCUUGUGUUGGAGCCCUGCGGCUGCCGCAGCCUCCCAAAACCAGUGGCGGGCUCGCUAUCACACCGAGUGCAGUAGUUUACUCUUCGCUCAGGGCGUGUGGCGGGUGCUAGCCGUGAAACCCCCAACUUCUCAAGGUUGACCUCGGAUUAGGUAGGAAUACCCGCUGAACUUAAGCAUAUCAAUAAGCGGAGGA
Molecule: unclassified non-coding RNA, 334 nt
Filed under: soil metagenome
Description: partial contains 5.8S ribosomal RNA, internal transcribed spacer 2, and large subunit ribosomal RNA
Rfam family: 5.8S ribosomal RNA (bases 1-120)
Source: RNAcentral